AGGGUCAAAAGCAAUGUUGGGUAACACCUCCAUUUAAAGGACCAACAGGAGGAAGAGGAGACAGCAAAGAGAUGCAACUUCCGGGCUUCCCUGGUGGCGCCGUGGUUGAGAGUCUGCCUGCCAAUGCAGGGGACACGGGUUCGAGCCCUGGUCUGGGAAGAUCCCACAUGCCGUGGAGCGACUGGGCCCAUGAGCCACAAUUGCUGAGCCUGCGCAUCUGGAGCCUGUGCUCCGCAACAAGAGAGGCCGCGAUAGUGAGAGGCCCGCGCACCGCGAUGAAGAGUGGCCCCCGCUUGCCACAACUAGAGAAAGCCCUCGCACAGAAACGAAGACCCAACACAGCCAUAAAUAAAUAAAUAAAUUAAAAAAAAAAAAAAAGAUGCAACUUCCAGUAAGAAAUAUAUCUUACACACUGGGACUCAGUAUGUGCUCUACACACAUACAAUUGAGACAAAUGUUUCAGAAAACAAUAGUUUAAUGAAAUAAUGUUUGUCUUUAUUAUGUGCAAUGGUUCUGAUAACUUCUAUUCUAUUCGUUUUAAAUUAAGUUUUAAAAGUAUAAUUGAUUAUAUGCUCUAUGUAAUAAAUUCAAACAAAACAAAAGUAGUACAGUAAAACUAAAAUUUCUCCUUCAUACCUGCCAUCCUUCCAAAUCCCAUUUCCCAGCUCAGAGGAGGAUUGGGAAUUAACAAUUUGAAUUUGAAGUGUAUCCUUUGAAAGCAUUUUCUGUGCAUUUAAAUAAGUAUGCACACACACACACACAAAGUUGUUUUGUUUUGGUUUUGGUUUUUACGAAUGUGAUCAUAUAUACUCGUGUUCUGAAACUUGAUUUUUUUUUUCUCUCUUUCUCUCUGUUGAAGGGAUUUUUAUGUCAAUACAUUAUUAUCCACCUCAUUCUUUAGAAAGGCUUGUAGCUUUCCAUAUGAAUGUACUGUGAUUUAUUUAAAGCAUCCCUCUAUUGCAGGACAGUGAAAUUGAUUCUAAUUUUUUAGUUUCACACAGUGCUACAACGAACAUCUGUCUACAGAUGUGAAUAAUUUUAAGGAAGAGAAUCUUGGAAAUAAAUAAAUAAGUAAAUGAAUAGGAACAUUUUGAUAGAUAUUACCAGAUAGGCUUCUUUAAAGGCCAAGGUCAGUGUACACAAUGACAUAUGAUAACCAAUGAUAGUCUAUUGUCAGUGAUAGUCUAUAAUCAAUUUGUCCAUUUUUUGGGGUCUAUUUCUUGAUUUUGUCUUGCUUUGUAAGGACUUUCCCAUUAUGAAAAUCAUAAACACUCUCCCAUAUUUCUGUUUAUUAAUUUUAUAGUUUUAUUUUGUAUUUAACCUACAGCUUUUUAAAUGUAUCCAAUUUUUUAAAUUGGUGAGAAGGGGAGAUAAAACUAUUUUUUUCCCACAUGGACAGCCAAUUUUUCCAACACUAUUUUGUUAAACAUUAUAACCCUUCCAAUGUUGUAAAAUCUACCUUUAUCCUAUCUGUAUUCUAAUAUGUGGCCUCUGGUCUGUGCCAUUGAUGUAUUAUCUAUUGCAGCAACAAUUCCACAUGAUUUAAUGAUAGUAGCUUUAUGGUUUAUUUGAUAACUGGGAGGGCAAUAUUGCCCCUGUUGCUUUUGUUUUUCUCAUUUUCUUGGUUAUUCUCAUGUACUUACUUUUAAGGACAACCUUUACAGUCACUUUAUGUUCCAUUAUAAAAUCCCUUUAGGGUGUUGGCUGUGAUUUGCCUAUAUUUUCUGUAUGAAAUGUUAUCCAAAGUCAUCCAUUUACAGUAAGGCAUGGAGGAUCAGAUGUUUGAGGACAGUGAGGGUUUGAGAUCAUUGUAAUAGAAAGUAAAAGAGGGGCUUCCCUGCUGGCGCAAUGGUUAAGAAUCCACCUGGAAAUGCAGAGGACACAGGUUCGAGCCCUGGUGCGGGAAGAUCCCACAUGCCACGGAACAACUAAACCUGUGUGCCACAACUACUGAGCCUGCACUCUAGAGCCUGCAAGCCGCAGCUACUGAGCCCGCGUGCCUAGAGCCCGUGCUCUGCAACAAUAGAAGCCCUCGCCCACAUGCAGCAACGAAGACCCAGUGCAGCCAUAAAUAAAUAAAUAAAUUAAUUAAUUAAUUAAUUUUUUAAAAAAGUAGAAGAGCUGGCUUAACAGAGUGUCCUACAGAGGAGGAAGCAGCCAAGAAUUUAUAAGAGUGUCUAUCUGCAGUUUGGGUGAUUUUUUCAUCCACGCUCAGCUGCUCACGAGCAGGCAUGAAGAAGGAUUUUAGUUGGGUUCAUGUUGGGAUUGGGUGUGGCUAAGACCAGCAUAAUAGAGGGAGAGAAGAACAAAAGAAAUGAAGAUAUUUUUAUCUCUUUGUCUUCCUUUUGGUAAAGAUAGAACACAAAUAAUUUUGUUUUCUAUUCAUCAAAUGGGAAUAUGUGUGAACAAAUGAAGAGAGGUACAAUUUUUUUGUUUUGUUGUUGCUUUAAACAUGUUAGUAAAAUAAAAAUGUUAACUUGUGAGCAAGAAAGCUAAAUUACAACUGAUCUUAAUAUUGUAUAAAUAAUUUAUCAUACGUAUAUAAUCAUGUUAUACUUGAGAUACUUCCCUUGUAACAGGAGAGCACUUUUGGUGUGAACUCCUAUUUUUUGAGUGUGUAUAUAUUUCCCUAACAUUUUCUUUGGUACUAAGCAUUCUCAAAUGUGUUCCCAGGGGUAUCUGGAAAUGUUGGUACAUAGCCAUUUGGCAGUUUAGGGAUUUGUUAGAGUGUGGGAAAAUUCCAAGGUUAUUUUCAGGUUACAACAUCUGCAUACUUCUUUGCAGGUCCAAAGAAUAAUUUAGUUUUAAAACUGUAAGGAUACCUUAGUCUUGGUCCUCACUGAGAGGAGAAAUUACUUCUAUCUUUGAAGAAAUAUCAUUCAAAAGAAAAUCCUGAGUUAGAAAAUUGUAGACCUAAAUCCAGAUGAAAUAAAAAAAUCUACUAAUAUUUCAAA
Balaenoptera ricei (Rice's whale) is the source of this 2954-nucleotide long non-coding RNA. RefSeq lists it as uncharacterized. The record is from RefSeq and is a predicted model, not a curated record. The transcript is spliced from 2 exons. Lineage: Eukaryota; Metazoa; Chordata; Mammalia; Artiodactyla; Balaenopteridae.